AGGCCAUGGUUGCUCGUGGGGACCUUGGAGCUGAACUUCCGAUAGAAAAAGUUCCUUUAUUGCAGGAUUAUCCUAACCGUUACAAGGGUCUUACAGGAUUUUCGUUUCAAUAAAUAAUAUUGCUUAUCAAGGGGACUAAUUGAAAACAAAAUGUGUGUAACACCUGAUGCAUUUUUCUGUCUGUUGAAGCCGAAACAAGAGAUAUGGAAAGAUGCAUGGACCAUUUUUUUAUUCUUUACUUUUUCUUUGGGUACGCCAAAUUAACCAAGGGGUGAUACUUUUUAUUGAAGUUUUUAUUAGUGACAUAUUUCAGUGAA
Long non-coding RNA from Vicia villosa (hairy vetch), 317 nucleotides. RefSeq lists it as uncharacterized. The transcript is spliced from 2 exons. The record is from RefSeq and is a predicted model, not a curated record. NCBI's taxonomy places the organism in Eukaryota, Viridiplantae, Streptophyta, Magnoliopsida, Fabales, Fabaceae.